Molecule: ribosomal RNA, 392 nt
Filed under: uncultured bacterium
Lineage: Bacteria
Description: bacterial SSU rRNA
Rfam family: Bacterial small subunit ribosomal RNA
Source: RNAcentral
GACGAACGCUGGCGGCGUGCUUAACACAUGCAAGUCGAGCGGUAAGGCCCUUUCGGGGGUACGACGAGCGGCGAACGGGUGAGUAACACGUGGGUGACCUGCCCUCCAGCUCUGGGAUAAGCCUGGGAAACUGGGUCUAAUACUGGAUAUGACUCCACGGUGCAUGUCGUGGGGUGGAAAGCCUUGUGCGGCUGAGGAUGGGCCCGCGGCCUAUCAGCUUGUUGGUGGGGUGAUGGCCUACCAAGGCGACGACGGGUAGCCGGCCUGAGAGGGCGACCGGCCACACUGGGACUGAGACACGGCCCAGACUCCUACGGGAGGCAGCAGUGGGGAAGUCUUGCGCAAUGGGCGAAAACCUGACGCAGCGACGCCGCGUGAGGGAUGACGGCCUC